Long non-coding RNA from Armigeres subalbatus, 1065 nucleotides. RefSeq lists it as uncharacterized. Lineage: Eukaryota; Metazoa; Arthropoda; Insecta; Diptera; Culicidae. The record is from RefSeq and is a predicted model, not a curated record. The transcript has 3 exons.
UUCGAAAAGGUCGUUGAAUCACUUCGGGAAUUUGACGCACUUCCGGCCACGAAGACCGUGAUAGUCGCAUUUAAUCUGAGGACUUUUUGGACUUCUACUCGUUCACUUUGACUUGAACCGUGGAAGAGGCGAGAGUGCGAGUAGUUAGUACUUAUAUGUACUUAGUGUCGCGGUGUGUUUAAUUUGCCCAAAGUUCAACAUUAGGGUCAAAGGUGACGUGCGGUCAACUUUUUGUGUGUGCGAAUUGUGUGUAGAAAAGCCGUUCGACGGCUUCUUGUCUAGGAUCGAUUCUAUCGAUAUCCAGGCCAGCUCGGCACACCGCAACUUUUCGCCAAGCGCGCUCUCGACCCCACGCUUCAUCGUCAAGGGUCCCGGAUCGGGGGAGAUCUUGAGAGGAAGGUUCGAUUCUCCGGCAGAGCAAAGGCUUUUUUUGUAAACCCCAACCCGUGGAAACCGUCCACGAAAUCGACGUCCCCGCGUCGAAUGCGAGCGCCAUACUCCGUUGUCGGCGUGAUUCGCAGCACCAGCACGGAAGCCGUCCGUCUGGGAAUCUCCUUAAGCGCAGUUCAUCAUCAUCGCCCCGGCCACCAUUCGUCGGUAUAGGACCACUUGCCGGCCGGGAAGCUGCAAAGACUACGGUACCGUGAGUAGAAAACAAGCAUGCAUGCAUAUCUCCACACACACACGAGCUCGAUCAUCACAAACGAUAGCCUAGGCUAGCCAUCGCUAGAACCAGAAAUAGAAAACCGCACACAAGUAGGAAGCUAGGAAGUGAAAGAGGGAAGAAGGAAGUGAAGAGUAGAGAGUGAGGAAGGAACAAAUAUGAAUAAAACCCUAGGGUAAUCGAAACCGCAAUAAAUGUAUAUCUGUCUUGUUUCCGUUGAAUAAAUGCGUUUCCGUUAAGUAAAGCUUCCAUGUAACGAUAAUUGUAGUCCGAAGGAUUUCUCAUGUUUUUCGCGUCGUUCUAAUUGUAGUUUUUGUUCAGUGUUGUACUCCAGGUUGGGCUGCCCGGUAAAUCAGCCUCAGCACUCACGUGUCCUAGACGGUCAUACGAUUUGGGAAGAG